This 505-nucleotide ribosomal RNA is filed under the name uncultured bacterium. Its description in RNAcentral is "bacterial SSU rRNA". It matches the Rfam family "Bacterial small subunit ribosomal RNA", at positions 28 to 526 of the family's 1533-position model. The record is from RNAcentral.
GAUGAACGCUAGCGGCAGGCCUAACACAUGCAAGUCGAGGGGUAACAGAGGUAGCUUGCUACUUGCUGACGACCGGCGCACGGGUGCGUAACGCGUAUACAAUCUACCUUUUACAGGGGGAUAGCCCAGAGAAAUUUGGAUUAAUACCCCAUAGAAUAUAGAAGUGGCAUCGCUUUUAUAUUAAAGUUUCGGCGGUAAGAGAUGAGUAUGCGUCCUAUUAGCUAGAUGGAGUGGUAACGGCACACCAUGGCAACGAUAGGUAGGGGCCCUGAGAGGGGGAUCCCCCACACUGGUACUGAGACACGGACCAGACUCCUACGGGAGGCAGCAGUGAGGAAUAUUGGACAAUGGGCGGAAGCCUGAUCCAGCCAUGCCGCGUGCAGGAAGACUGCCCUAUGGGUUGUAAACUGCUUUUAUACAGGAAGAAACCUCCUUACGUGUAGGGAGCUGACGGUACUGUAAGAAUAAGCAUCGGCUAACUCCGUGCCAGCCGCCGCCGUAACAC